AGACUCAGUGAAAUUGAACUCGCUGUGAAGAUGCAGUGUACCCGCGGCAAGACGGAAAGACCCCGUGAACCUUUACUAUAGCUUGACACUGAACAUUGAGCCUUGAUGUGUAGGAUAGGUGGGAGGCUUUGAAGCGUGGACGCCAGUCUGCGUGGAGCCGACCUUGAAAUACCACCCUUUAAUGUUUGAUGUUCUAACGUGGACCCGUAAUCCGGGUUGCGGACAGUGUCUGGUGGGUAGUUUGACUGGGGCGGUCUCCUCCUAAAGAGUAACGGAGGAGCACGAAGGUUGGCUAAUCCUGGUCGGACAUCAGGAGGUUAGUGCAAUGGCAUAAGCCAGCUUGACUGCGAGCGUGACGGCGCGAGCAGGUGCGAAAGCAGGUCAUAGUGAUCCGGUGGUUCUGAAUGGAAGGGCCAUCGCUCAACGGAUAAAAGGUACUCCGGGGAUAACAGGCUGAUACCGCCCAAGAGUUCAUAUCGACGGCGGUGUUUGGCACCUCGAUGUCGGCUCAUCACAUCCUGGGGCUGAAGUAGGUCCCAAGGGUAUGGCUGUUCGCCAUUUAAAGUGGUACGCGAGCUGGGUUUAGAACGUCGUGAGACAGUUCGGUCCCUAUCUGCCGUGGGCGCUGGAGAACUGAGGGGGGCUGCUCCUAGUACGAGAGGACCGGAGUGGACGCAUCACUGGUGUUCGGGUUGUCAUGCCAAUGGCACUGCCCGGUAGCUAAAUGCGGAAGAGA
RNAcentral lists this ribosomal RNA (736 nucleotides) under Salmonella enterica. RNAcentral describes it as "partial 23S ribosomal RNA". It matches the Rfam family "Bacterial large subunit ribosomal RNA", at positions 2029 to 2764 of the family's 2925-position model. Lineage: Bacteria; Pseudomonadati; Pseudomonadota; Gammaproteobacteria; Enterobacterales; Enterobacteriaceae. The record is from RNAcentral.